This is a long non-coding RNA of Hemicordylus capensis (graceful crag lizard), 6162 nucleotides long. RefSeq lists it as uncharacterized. The record is from RefSeq and is a predicted model, not a curated record. The transcript is spliced from 4 exons. Lineage: Eukaryota; Metazoa; Chordata; Lepidosauria; Squamata; Cordylidae.
UGAGGGGGGGUAAAUACUGGGCCCAACAGGCAGCAGAUUGGCAGUGGUGUGGGCAACCCCAAAGGGAAGGGGGGUCCCUCUUUGGCUGGAGUAGUAAAGAUACCACUCUCUCUUAUAUAAGGGAGAAGAGUUUGGUAACAGCCAAAAACUUUGGUUGGCGAGUGGAGGGAAGUGACUAUGCUUUCCUGGUGUUUGAAAAGCCAGGCGAGGUGUGAGAGGCUGGGUGACCCCCUCUGUCCUAAGGCCCCCAGCAGGAAGGGUUCCUUAGUCUCUGGAAAGCUCGCUAACACGAGAAUGUAUGGUUCAACUCCGAUGCGGUUGCCUAGACUGAUGCCGAGUCGGACUGCUUGGGCUCCCCCUUGGAGACUGUUUUAACAACUUCAUUGCUUCAGUGUAUUUUUGAUGUAAGCCCCUUUGGGCGCUCUCUGAAUGGAAAGGCGGGAUAACAUUCCCCUAAUAAAGAAAUAAUAAAGCGUGUAGAAUGGUUGGUUGUUACACGAAGCCGUUUCCCAUUCUAAGUGCAGUGGAUGGCCUGGAGAGAUUUGCUUAGGGUUGCAGCUGUUUCAUGAUGCUGUAGAAGCAAAGGCAUUGAGCAGCCUUCAUCUAGCCCCACCGGGCUCUUGCUACAUUCUUAACCAAUCACGGCUCAGUCCGGUCUGGCACCGUGGGACUCUAGCUUCCUUGGCCUUCGCUCUUACGGCACGCCGGAAUUAUCUUUAUUGUGCCAAAUCCCCCGAUUAGGGAUGCAGGCAGCUGCCAUAUACUGAGUCAGAGCAUUGGUCCAGCUUGCCCAGUCUUGUCUACACUGACUGGCAGUGGCUGUCCAAGGCUUCAGGCAGGAGUCUCUCCCAGCCCUACCUGGAGAUGCUGCCAGGGAUGGAACCUGGGACCUUCUGCAUGCAAGCCUGCAGAUGCACUUCCACUGAGCUAGGGCCCCGUCGCCGAAGGGGGCUAUCUUACAGCAGGCAGCGCUCGCAUGUGGCCCCAUCCAAAUGCAAACCAGGGCAGAUCCUGCUUAGCAAAGAGGACAAUUAAGCGCGGCUUCUUCCCCAAGCCCCUGGUGUGCUCCAAGAUGGAAGCUGCCAUCCAUAAUGGAUGUUCUCUCCCGCUCAGUUAUUCAGGGGCCUAUCGGCACCACCUUGGUGCUGUUGAAGCUGGGAAAGGUUCCGCUUUGGGCUCUGAGGGACGCCCUGUAGUUUUUAAGGGAAAGCAGAGAUCAGCUGCUGCCUGAAUGUCUACCCAUGAGAUGAUGUCCUGCCAGGACGUGUGGGAUACAGAGGUGUAUGGCUACACAUGGAUGCCAGGGAAAGUUUCCCCCCCAUCUCGUUUUAUGCUUGACUCUGAGAACAUUAGGAUGCUAUCUACUCCCCACCCCCCUGUCACUCCCUAGCUGCAUCUGGCAAAGUCAGGUAGCCUUGAAUGGCAAAGAGAAGCAGGCACACCUGUGUGGGACAGGUAGGAAGGUGGGGUGGUACCACCUGGCCCAAGCACACCAGCUGUGUUCUCCUCUGUUGCCAAGGUUGGGAGGGAUUCUAGUUUGGUGAGUGCGCUGAUGUGCUCAGCCUGUUGGAACUUGUGGCAGCUUGGACAGAGGGAGACAUCCAUGCUUCUAGUCUUCUUGGAGGUAUUUCUGGAGGGAUACCUCAAAUCCUGGAACCAGAUCUGUGUUUCAAAAGCUGGUUGACACUCACAGCCCUGGAAGUAAUUUAUAUAGAUGAGAAUGAUUACUCCUAGCACUGGGCUGAAAGUUCUUCUCAGAACUUUUCCUGAUCUAAAGAUCUAAAGUCUGGAAGUUCUUGGGACACUCCCUCUGCCUGUGCCCUAUAUGUUGCUGCUCCCACCCCCUGCUUUAUGGUCCUGGCAAUAGCGGUGAUCACAAUCCCAGCAGGCCUGACUAUGGCCAGGUGCCAUUUUCUGGUUUACCCACUAGUCAAUACUGAGUGAGGACAGGAAUUAGUGCCCUUGCUCUGAUUUGACUUCAUGAUGACAUCAUGUGAUGGCCCUUGCACCCAGGCAAAGGCAUCCCUAGAGCCUGGGCUACACAUGUGGAAUCAGGUGGUGGAAUCCUUUCAUGGUAUAAUGAGCAGUGCUGCUUCAGGUGGAGGGGCCACAUUUUAAUGCUGUUCCAUGUGCACACCUCCCUGCAGGCAGAAAUCUAGCACAUCUGGUAGAAAGCACUCCCUGCUGUGCUUGUUUUCUAUUUGCAGAGAGUAUUUUUCUAUAGGGGAGUAUUUAGAAACAAACAAAAAUCCCCUACAGUCCAAAGUGGUACAACCCAUUCGGACAUCAAGUGAGGAGUAUGCCUGCAUCAACGGGACAUUAGUAGUACAGGCAGAUGGUGCACGAUCCACCUGAGUUAUGCAGGUAGAUAUUGCACUGUGUUCAUGAUGUCCUGCCUCUUAAGAACCUUAGAACAGCCCUGCUGGAUCAGGCCCAAGGAGGCCCAUCUAGUCCAGUAGCCUGUUUCCCACAGUGGCCCACCAGAUGCCUCUGGGGAGCCCACAGGCAAGAGGUCUGUGCAUGCCCUCUCUCCUGCUGCUGAUGCUCCCCUGCAACUGGUAUCGAGAGGCAUCGUGCCUCUGAGGCUGGAGGUGGCCCACAGCCACCAGACUCGUAGCCACUGACAGGUCUAGUCUUCUGAAACUCGUGCCACAGUAGACCAGCUGGUCUCUUAAGGUCCACAGCACUCUUUGAGUCCUCACGUCUAUGAAACACUAAGCAAAGAAGCAGCCAAAAUGUGAACGGGGGAAAAGUUUCUGUCCCAGAUUUGAGUGGGUAUAAGUUAGAAAGUGGCAGCAGGGUGGCUUUGAGGUUGCCGCGUGUGGGGCCGCCAGAAUCCAGCAGAGGGCAUAUUCAUGUGCAAGACCGGUGCCCUCAACACAAGCAGCGUCCUGGCGGAUUUAGAGCCAGUGUGUGUAAAAAUCAUGUGCCUUAAAAUGUUCACAGUAGCAGGGCAUUAGAGGGGGCCCAAACCCGAAAUAGGACAAAACCAACCAUGUGUCAUCUCGUGUAAUCUUCCUCAACAUGAUUGCUGUCGUUUUAGACCGGUGAGGCGAGGGGAACAGUGUGUGUGUGGGACGGGGGGGGUCCUUUUGCAUUGUAUUUACACUGUACUAUAAGCAGACCGGCUUGGUUUUAAGAGUAAGAGCGGGGGAUUACGCUUUCACAGAACCAAUGUUUAACAUAACUCGAAUGUAUUAAUAUUAUUCUAGGAACUUUCCGUAACACAGACAAGUAGAAUGCUUGUUGAAACCAGGUGUGUAGGUUAACAAUUUGAUGUGUUUUCAAUAAACAAUGCCUGAAUCAAACACGUGUGGGGCUGGUUAUUUGGGUUGGCGCUGGGCGCCCUUUGGGUUGGGAGACCAGGUCUUCCUUGUCUGAGCAUUCAUGGCGCUCCUAGCAAUGGAUGAGGUGAAGGGAGCUCAACUUCAUCAGCGUUCUGCUGGGCUGGGGCUUCUGGCGUCGGAAAGGGAAACCGUUCACCGUGUACUAACAUGGCCACAAGCCACUUGAAGAAGACAGCCAGCUAAAAUGAAAUGGAUUAUUUCUACACAUUGACCUUUUACAGCUGUCAGAACCCGUUCGUUGUGAGCUCAUCACCCGUUCCGGUGAUGUCAAAGGCGAACCUGGAAACCGCGGGGCCCUCAUCCGUUUUGGAUUCCGACAGUCUCCGGUGUACUGCUUUGACUUGGGUCUCUCUCUCUCUUGGGUGCCGGUUGGUGUCUCCUAACAGGCUUGGGUGUUUCUCGUUAAAGGAAAGCUCUGCCUGCCAAAACGUUCCUUUCUGUUGUUUGGAUUGGGCCUGCCUUAUUCCUGCGCAGCAGUUUUCUUAUCCACAGUUCAGACGUGCGAGAACCAAGCCCAGGAAUAAAGAGAGGCCAAGUGUCUCUUGAAAUGGCAGGUGGGGAAGCCGUCUCUCACGUCCUGGUUCGCGUGGGUAAGUGAUCCAGCAAGCUUAUGUGGGUUCCUACCACGUUCUGUGGUUGCCUUUGCAGCCUAAUAGACAUGCAAAUGGACUUCGUAAGUAUGACUAGUGAUGUUGCACCAGAUGGGGCCAGAAUAUUGCGGGGAACUUGGUGCUUCCAUAAUGAGUGAGCCAGUUCAGCUGUCUUGCAGGACCAUUGGUAAAUCUUGGGCUUGUCCCAUGUCAAAGGAACCUCUGUUCUCUGUAAUUUUUUCAUCUGUGUGCGGAAUGAGUUUUUUUCCAGGUGGCAGUUUCAAGGCAGUGUGUGCGCACCUGCAUUCAGAGUGGGGCCUUCCUGCUUCAUCCUGUGCGGCAUCUAAAAUUAACUCAGCGGACAUCAACCAAUUUGUGAGUGCACGCAUUAGAGGGAAAACUGAUAGCAACAUAGGAAGCUGCCAUAUACCGAGUCAGACCCUGGGUCCAUCCAGCUCAGUAUUGUCUACACAGACUGGCAGCAGCUUCUCCAAGGCUGCAGGCAAGAGAUUACCUGACCCCAGAUACACGAAACUGCAGAUAACAAAUCUGUGUGUAACAAGAGCAUUCAGUAUAUAAAUAUCAGUAGUAUUCGUAUUCGCCCUAUUCAGACGUUAAGUUGUACAAGUAUAUGGUAGUCUGUGUGCUCUAAUAAUGCUUUUAUUAUUAUUAUUACAUUUAUAUCCCGCUCUUCCUCCAAGGAACCCAGAGCGGUGCACUACAUACUUAAGUUUCUCUUUCACAACAACCCUGUGAAGUAGGCUAGGCUGAGAGAGAAGUGACUGGCCCAGGGUCACCCAGCAAGCCUCAUGGCUGAAUGGGGAUUUGAACUCGGGUCUCCCCGGUCCUAGUCCAGCACUCUAACCACUACACCCCACUGGCUUUUGUAUGGAUAACUAUACCUCUGCCCAUUUUCAGAGUGAAUCUGGAUGCAAACCCUCAAAUGGGUGGUACAGAUCGGAAGUUAAGUGUACUGCUGUGCCUGCGUUCAACAUAGCAUGUGUGUGAUUAUUCCCGUGUACAGUUCUGUGCCUAAGUACACAGGUGUGAGUGCUCAGCAUAAUGUCUGAAUAGGACUAGAGUGCAAAGCUCCAGGCUGGCAACCCUCUCUGGAAGGCAGGUGAAGUUGGGGGACGAAAACCAUUUACUAACCAAGGCUCCCAGCACAAGGGCAGGAAUCCCCGGGAACCAGUCCGGUCAACUUAUCAUGCUAGAGGACGACAUGCACUGAAAGUAAUUUUAGCUUCAGGGUGUUUUAUUUUCCUUCUGAGCAUUUGGAUUGCUUUGGCUGAAGUUACUCCACAAAUCUGUUCUGGGGCUCGGGAAAAGUGGGGAACUGGAAACCCUUUGGUUGUCAGGCUUCCCAGACGGUGUUGCUGAAAUGAUGACAUGGCUCAGGAGUGCUUGGGCACCGUUCCUGCAAGGUCCUGCGUUGACAUCUCUGCUCAGGCCUGCUCAGCAUUAAGAACAUAAGAAGAGCCCAGCUGGAUCCAGCCAGUGGUGACCAGCUUCCAAGUGUGGUCGGCCGGAUGCAUCAGGGAUAGACUGCUUCUGGCCAUUGGGGCUCCAUUUAGCAAUCAUGGAAGCCGAUAGAGCUUGGGCAAAAAGACGGGUUUUCAGUUGGUUUUUUUGAAAAUUGCCAGAGAUGGGGAGGAUCGUAUCUCAGCAGGGAGCACAUUCCACAGUCUCGGGGCAGCGACCGAGAAGGCCCGUCUCAGUGUAUCCACCAGACGAGUUGGCGGUAACAUUAGGAGAGGCGGUGAGAAAGGAAGGUGGUGCACUCAAAGCGCUGGUUGUUCCGGAUGUACUUGACGAACUCGGGCGCCCCAGGGAAGAUGAUAUUGUCAGCCAGGAGAAUGGAGCCCUUCCUCAGCAAACCACAUUCCUGGGGAGGAGGAGAAAGAGAAGCGUUCUGGACAAGGAAUCUCAGGUGGUCCAGGAAGACAAAAUCCAGGGUGUCCACCUCGUAUUUUUUCUUCAGCUGCGGGAUAAUGUCCUCCGAAUGGCCCUCGAGGAUCGUCACCUGAAAGCCAGAGCAUUGGAAUGACUGAGCCAAUCUUGGAUGCUUGCGCAGCUGGGUGCCAUUUAAAGCUCCAGUUGCUCUUCACUGCUUGUGUGAAUUGCCUCGGUGUAAAACUACAGCUGAACCACGGCGAGGGGGAUCUGGGUUACUUGUUGAGUGUGUGUGUGUUUGUGUUUAAAUAAACUGGUUCAAUUGUUUCUUA